Molecule: ribosomal RNA, 1263 nt
Filed under: Escherichia coli
Lineage: Bacteria; Pseudomonadati; Pseudomonadota; Gammaproteobacteria; Enterobacterales; Enterobacteriaceae
Description: partial 23S ribosomal RNA
Rfam family: Bacterial large subunit ribosomal RNA
Source: RNAcentral
UUGGCUUAGAAGCAGCCAUCAUUUAAAGAAAGCGUAAUAGCUCACUGGUCGAGUCGGCCUGCGCGGAAGAUGUAACGGGGCUAAACCAUGCACCGAAGCUGCGGCAGCGACGCUGAUGCGUUGUUGGGUAGGGGAGCGUUCUGUAAGCCUGUGAAGGUGUGCUGUGAGGCAUGCUGGAGGUAUCAGAAGUGCGAAUGCUGACAUAAGUAACGAUAAAGCGGGUGAAAAGCCCGCUCGCCGGAAGACCAAGGGUUCCUGUCCAACGUUAAUCGGGGCAGGGUGAGUCGACCCCUAAGGCGAGGCCGAAAGGCGUAGUCGAUGGGAAACAGGUUAAUAUUCCUGUACUUGGUGUUACUGCGAAGGGGGGACGGAGAAGGCUAUGUUGGCCGGGCGACGGUUGUCCCGGUUUAAGCGUGUAGGCUGGUUUUCCAGGCAAAUCCGGAAAAUCAAGGCUGAGGCGUGAUGACGAGGCACUACGGUGCUGAAGCAACAAAUGCCCUGCUUCCAGGAAAAGCCUCUAAGCAUCAGGUAACAUCAAAUCGUACCCCAAACCGACACAGGUGGUCAGGUAGAGAAUACCAAGGCGCUUGAGAGAACUCGGGUGAAGGAACUAGGCAAAAUGGUGCCGUAACUUCGGGAGAAGGCACGCUGAUAUGUAGGUGAAGCGACUUGCUCGUGGAGCUGAAAUCAGUCGAAGAUACCAGCUGGCUGCAACUGUUUAUUAAAAACACAGCACUGUGCAAACACGAAAGUGGACGUAUACGGUGUGACGCCUGCCCGGUGCCGGAAGGUUAAUUGAUGGGGUCAGCGCAAGCGAAGCUCUUGAUCGAAGCCCCGGUAAACGGCGGCCGUAACUAUAACGGUCCUAAGGUAGCGAAAUUCCUUGUCGGGUAAGUUCCGACCUGCACGAAUGGCGUAAUGAUGGCCAGGCUGUCUCCACCCGAGACUCAGUGAAAUUGAACUCGCUGUGAAGAUGCAGUGUACCCGCGGCAAGACGGAAAGACCCCGUGAACCUUUACUAUAGCUUGACACUGAACAUUGAGCCUUGAUGUGUAGGAUAGGUGGGAGGCUUUGAAGUGUGGACGCCAGUCUGCAUGGAGCCGACCUUGAAAUACCACCCUUUAAUGUUUGAUGUUCUAACGUGGACCCGUGAUCCGGGUUGCGGACAGUGUCUGGUGGGUAGUUUGACUGGGGCGGUCUCCUCCUAAAGAGUAACGGAGGAGCACGAAGGUUGGCUAAUCCUGGUCGGACAUCAGGAGGUUA